This 692-nucleotide long non-coding RNA is filed under the name Triticum aestivum (bread wheat). RNAcentral describes it as "long non-coding RNA (TAES_LNC021813)". Lineage: Eukaryota; Viridiplantae; Streptophyta; Magnoliopsida; Poales; Poaceae. The record is from RNAcentral.
CCUCCGGUUAGUUCCCACCCCCGGUGAUGCUUCGAUUUGUUUGCUUUUGCCUGCCCGCGCGUCAGGUGUUCGACGCAAUGCCUCGGAAGGGUUGGCGCCCUCCUUUUUAAUAGAAAUGCUGUAGUGGUCUGUAGCAACUUGAAUUAAUGGGAAUAAGUGAAGAAUUUCCUGGGAUCGUUCAAUUUUACUACUGAUUGUUUUAUUGAAAUGUAAGGCCUAAUUCAAAUCAGUUGAUGUUGCGUGAUGCUUUGAAUGUUGAAUAUAGAUAUGCCUGUAAUACACGUUGGAAGGACUCUCUAAAUGUGAUUCCCACGACCGAUGAUACUGCAAGCUGUUGUAACUGUUGCAGCUAUCUUGAUUUUGAGGCCCAGUUCGAUAAAAGUUUAAGCAGAUUUCAUUUAGGUACUGUUCGUAUGAUAGGUCUUUUGGCUAUACUUUAUGCUAUAUUUAGAUUUGGGAAAUGCAGCUAUCAAGACAUGCUUUACUAUUUUCAAGAAGUUUGUCUAGAAUGCAUUUUGCACUAUAUAUGAAAAAAUCUCUUAUAAAUUUUAGAUUGAUUUUAGCACCCUCGUUCCAAUACAAGAAGUUGUUACUCAUUCCGGAGCAGUAAUCUGUGAUGUCUUGACUUAAUAGGAAUAAGUGAAGAUUUCCUGUGAUCGUUCAAUUUUACGACUACUGAUUGUUUUGACAUU